GAAAAACCUGAACAGUUGAAUAUUCUUCGCCCCACCAGCUAUUUCACUCGGUACACAGCAAACGUAAUGUGCAUAGGUUAGGUUAGGUACGCGUGUGGUCUAUUAUCUACGUCAGAAAUGCAUAUCGCACACGUAUUUGGAAAGUUCCACAAACUUGCCUAUAACAAGCGACUUGAAACAAAUACGAAACAACAACGCUACGAAAAGAGCGCAAAUCUUCCACACACGCUACUAAUUUACUAGACACGCUUCGAAACCGAGUGCUUGCGACUCUGUGCAAGUCUUUGCAAAAAGAUUCUAACCUUACUGAUUCCUCAGACAUAUCGAUUUUUACCGACCAUAGGUAACUGUAUUUUUCGCUAACUACUCUUAUCGUAGUCGCUGGCACCUUGAAACGUGAGCGUAGCUUUAAACUUAUAAAAAAAAAGAAAAAGAAGAGGAGAAAACAA
Molecule: long non-coding RNA, 449 nt
Organism: Bombus huntii
Lineage: Eukaryota; Metazoa; Arthropoda; Insecta; Hymenoptera; Apidae
Exons: 2
Source: RefSeq, a predicted model, not a curated record